GCACUCGGAAGCCGAGAUCAAGAAGAGAGGCCAACUCCGAAUUGGUUGGAAGAAAGCUGGUCACCUCGGAAAGAGGGAAACGAAAAAUCCUAUACAUAACUCUGCUCCCGCCUGACCAGCUUUUGCAGAGAGAAGGUCAAGUCAAGUCAAUGGCAGUGGAAGAAAGCAAUCUGCAAACCAUCCUAUGAGCCUGGCCGUAACACCUAUCCUUUCCUGGAACAAGCGCUUUAUACCUGUAAGUCUGGCCGACCUCUCAACUCUAAAACAGUCUACCUGGGGUUUUUUUGUUUUUUGUUUUUUGUUUUUUUUUGAGAAGGAGCUUUUAUGUUGCUGCAUAUUUUGUUCCUUAAAAAGUAUUUAUACAUAAAAAACAUAUAUAUACAUAUAUAUUACAUGUUUUUAUAUAUAUCAUAUAUAUGUAUACCUUAUAUAUAAACAUGUAAACAAAUAUAUAUACAUAUACAAACAUAAAAUCUGGAGUUUGUAUUGGCACCCAGCCAGUCCUUUCACUAACCAUGGGCACAUCUUGUCCUUUUACAGCUCCUCUGGUGUCUCUCUGUUGAUGGGCCCCAUCAGUUUUUAACAGUUUUCUACCAGGACAGUGUACAUGGAAACAAAAUAGCCACUUGCAGCAACUUUUACAGCAGUAAUACUUCUUGGGUCAAGACUAGCUUUCUUAGUGUUUCUGGGUGGACAAAACUUAAUGCAAGUGACAACUCUCUGGACUGGAUGUCUGUUCCCUGAUGUCGUGCAUGGCUCUGUGCCAAGUCAGCAUUCUUCAGUAACUCCCUCAUUCAUUCAACAAAUAUGUGUUGAUCGUCAAUGUGUCAGACUUGCCUAAAAUACCUUUUUUUUUUUUUUUUUUUUUUAAAAAAAANAAACAAAGCACCUUUGCCCCCUCCUCUCCUCCAGAGCCGCCUCCUUGGAGCUGCCUUAUUUGUGAAGAACUGCUCACAGCAUUUAUCACACUGUAUUUCACCUACUCACUGCCGGCCUCCUUCACCAGGCUGUGAGUACCUUCAUGGCAGGAUUCAGUCCUGAUCAUUUUUUAAUUCCCAGUUCCAAACACUGGCACAUAGUAGACAGCCAAUAAAUGUUAAUUCGCAUUUUAUGUGAUGGAUCCUGGGUUGGACAUGGGGAUAAAAAGAUGAUUAAGACAAGGACCUUGCCUCAAGGAGCUCACAGCCAUUCCCUCCCAGUUAACCUUACAUAAGGCUGGGAAGCAUCCAUGCCCUUUCUUCUGUGGCUUGUUCUUUCUAGCCCUGCAUUAAAUAUUAAGCAAGCUAAGCACGUGCCUAAUUGCCCAAUGGAAAGGGGCACCUUGGAGUUUUCCCCUAGCUCAUGUCCUUAACUCUUUCACUACUACUCUCGACACGAUUGGAAUUUUUUUUUUUUUUGUAAUUCUCAUUAUCUGCUUAUGUUCGAUUUUAAUUGGCAUUGUUUAACAACGAAAUUUAUUUAGGGAGUUCCCUGGUGGUUUAGUGGUUGGGAUUCAGCCAUUUCACCGCUGUAGCCCUGGUUUAGGAACUGAGGUCCCACUUCAAGCAGCUGUAGGCUGCAGCUAAAAAAAAAAAAAAAAAAAAAAAAAA
This 1589-nucleotide long non-coding RNA is filed under the name Sus scrofa (pig). RNAcentral describes it as "lncRNA (ENSSSCG00065044225.1)". Lineage: Eukaryota; Metazoa; Chordata; Mammalia; Artiodactyla; Suidae. The record is from RNAcentral.